This 27-nucleotide ribosomal RNA is filed under the name uncultured Piloderma. Its description in RNAcentral is "partial 18S ribosomal RNA". The record is from RNAcentral. Lineage: Eukaryota; Fungi; Basidiomycota; Agaricomycetes; Atheliales; Atheliaceae.
GUAGGUGAACCUGCGGAAGGAUCACUA